AGAGUUUGAUCAUGGCUCAGAUUGAACGCUGGCGGCAGGCCUAACACAUGCAAGUCGAGCGGUAGCACAGAGAGCUUGCUCUCGGGUGACGAGCGGCGGACGGGUGAGUAAUGUCUGGGAAACUGCCUGAUGGAGGGGGAUAACUACUGGAAACGGUAGCUAAUACCGCAUAAUGUCGCAAGACCAAAGUGGGGGACCUUCGGGCCUCAUGCCAUCAGAUGUGCCCCAGAUGGGAUUAGCUAGUAGGUGGGGUAACGGCUCACCUAGGCGACGAUCCCUAGCUGGUCUGAGAGGAUGACCAGCCACACUGGAACUGAGACACGGUCCAGACUCCUACGGAGGCAGCAGUGGGGGAAUAUUGCACAAUGGGCGCAAGCCUGAUGCAGCAUGCCGCGUGUGUGAAGAAGGCCUUCGGGUUGUAAAGCACUUUCAGCGGGGAGGAAGGCGGUGAGGUUAAUAACCUCAUCGAUUGACGUUACCCGCAGAAGAAGCACCGGCUAACUCCGUGCCAGCAGCCGCGGUAAUACGGAGGGGUGCAAGCGUUAAUCGGAAUUACUGGGCGUAAAGCGCACGCAGGCGGUCUGUCAAGUCGGAUGUGAAAUCCCGGGCUCAACCUGGGAACUGCAUUCGAAACUGGCAGGCUAGAGUCUUGUAGAGGGGGGUAGAAUUCCAGGUGUAGCGGUGAAAUGCGUAGAGAUCUGGAGGAAUACCGGUGGCGAAGGCGGCCCCCUGGACAAAGACUGACGCUCAGGUGCGAAAGCGUGGGGAGCAAACAGGAUUAGAUACCCUGGUAGUCCACGCCGUAAACGAUGUCGAUUUGGAGGUUGUGCCCUUGAGGCGUGGCUUCCGGAGCUAACGCGUUAAAUCGACCGCCUGGGGAGUACGGCCGCAAGGUUAAAACUCAAAUGAAUUGACGGGGGCCCGCACAAGCGGUGGAGCAUGUGGUUUAAUUCGAUGCAACGCGAAGAACCUUACCUGGUCUUGACAUCCACAGAACUUUCCAGAGAUGGAUUGGUGCCUUCGGGAACUGUGAGACAGGUGCUGCAUGGCUGUCGUCAGCUCGUGUUGUGAAAUGUUGGGUUAAGUCCCGCAACGAGCGCAACCCUUAUCCUUUGUUGCCAGCGGUUAGGCCGGGAACUCAAAGGAGACUGCCAGUGAUAAACUGGAGGAAGGUGGGGAUGACGUCAAGUCAUCAUGGCCCUUACGACCAGGGCUACACACGUGCUACAAUGGCAUAUACAAAGAGAAGCGACCUCGCGAGAGCAAGCGGACCUCAUAAAGUAUGUCGUAGUCCGGAUUGGAGUCUGCAACUCGACUCCAUGAAGUCGGAAUCGCUAGUAAUCGUAGAUCAGAAUGCUACGGUGAAUACGUUCCCGGGCCUUGUACACACCGCCCGUCACACCAUGGGAGUGGGUUGCAAAAGAAGUAGGUAGCUUAACCUUCGGGAGGGCGCUUACCACUUUGUGAUUCAUGACUGGGGUGAAGUCGUAACAAGGUAACCGUAGGGGAACCUGCGGUUGGAUCACCU
This 1528-nucleotide ribosomal RNA is filed under the name Klebsiella pneumoniae. RNAcentral describes it as "bacterial SSU rRNA". It matches the Rfam family "Bacterial small subunit ribosomal RNA". Lineage: Bacteria; Pseudomonadati; Pseudomonadota; Gammaproteobacteria; Enterobacterales; Enterobacteriaceae. The record is from RNAcentral.